Molecule: ribosomal RNA, 946 nt
Filed under: Salmonella enterica subsp. enterica serovar Cerro
Lineage: Bacteria; Pseudomonadati; Pseudomonadota; Gammaproteobacteria; Enterobacterales; Enterobacteriaceae
Description: bacterial SSU rRNA
Rfam family: Bacterial small subunit ribosomal RNA
Source: RNAcentral
CUAAUACCGCAUAACGUCGCAAGACCAAAGAGGGGGACCUUCGGGCCUCUUGCCAUCAGAUGUGCCCAGAUGGGAUUAGCUAGUUGGUGAGGUAACGGCUCACCAAGGCGACGAUCCCUAGCUGGUCUGAGAGGAUGACCAGCCACACUGGAACUGAGACACGGUCCAGACUCCUACGGGAGGCAGCAGUGGGGAAUAUUGCACAAUGGGCGCAAGCCUGAUGCAGCCAUGCCGCGUGUAUGAAGAAGGCCUUCGGGUUGUAAAGUACUUUCAGCGGGGAGGAAGGUGUUGUGGUUAAUAACCGCAGCAAUUGACGUUACCCGCAGAAGAAGCACCGGCUAACUCCGUGCCAGCAGCCGCGGUAAUACGGAGGGUGCAAGCGUUAAUCGGAAUUACUGGGCGUAAAGCGCACGCAGGCGGUCUGUCAAGUCGGAUGUGAAAUCCCCGGGCUCAACCUGGGAACUGCAUUCGAAACUGGCAGGCUUGAGUCUUGUAGAGGGGGGUAGAAUUCCAGGUGUAGCGGUGAAAUGCGUAGAGAUCUGGAGGAAUACCGGUGGCGAAGGCGGCCCCCUGGACAAAGACUGACGCUCAGGUGCGAAAGCGUGGGGAGCAAACAGGAUUAGAUACCCUGGUAGUCCACGCCGUAAACGAUGUCUACUUGGAGGUUGUGCCCUUGAGGCGUGGCUUCCGGAGCUAACGCGUUAAGUAGACCGCCUGGGGAGUACGGCCGCAAGGUUAAAACUCAAAUGAAUUGACGGGGGCCCGCACAAGCGGUGGAGCAUGUGGUUUAAUUCGAUGCAACGCGAAGAACCUUACCUGGUCUUGACAUCCACGGAAGUUUUCAGAGAUGAGAAUGUGCCUUCGGGAACCGUGAGACAGGUGCUGCAUGGCUGUCGUCAGCUCGUGUUGUGAAAUGUUGGGUUAAGUCCCGCAACGAGCGCAACCC